This 386-nucleotide ribosomal RNA is filed under the name uncultured bacterium. RNAcentral describes it as "bacterial SSU rRNA". It matches the Rfam family "Bacterial small subunit ribosomal RNA", at positions 30 to 416 of the family's 1533-position model. The record is from RNAcentral.
AUUGAACGCUGGCGGCAGGCCUAACACAUGCAAGUCGAGCGGUAGAGAGGUGCUUGCAUCUCUUGAGAGCGGCGGACGGGUGAGUAAUGCCUAGGAAUCUGCCUAGUGGUGGGGGAUAACGUUCGGAAACGGACGCUAAUACCGCAUACGUCCUACGGGAGAAAGCGGGGGAUCUUCGGACCUCGCGCCAUUAGAUGAGCCUAGGUCGGAUUAGCUAGUUGGUGAGGUAAUGGCUCACCAAGGCGACGAUCCGUAACUGGUCUGAGAGGAUGAUCAGCCACACUGGGACUGAGACACGGCCCAGACUCCUACGGGAGGCAGCAGUGGGGAAUAUUGGACAAUGGGCGAAAGCCUGAUCCAGCAAUGCCGCGUGAGUGAUGAAGGCU